UAACUUGAUUGAGGUUUUUACUACGAUAC
RNAcentral lists this small RNA (29 nucleotides) under Bombyx mori (domestic silkworm). RNAcentral's name for it is "ovarian small RNA-19069". The record is from RNAcentral. Lineage: Eukaryota; Metazoa; Arthropoda; Insecta; Lepidoptera; Bombycidae.